GGCGGCGCGCUUAAUACAUGCAAGUCGAACGAGAAGCCAGAGCUUGCUCUGGUGGAAAGUGGCGAACGGGUGAGUAACACGUGAGAAACCUGCCCCAAAGAUUGGGAUAAGCCUUGGAAACGAGGUCUAAUACCAAAUACCUUCCUUUUAACACAUGUUAAAAAGAGAAAUGCUCCGGCGCUUUGGGAUGGUCUCGCGAUCUAUCAGCUUGUUGGUGAGGUAAACGGCUCACCAAGGCAUCGACGGAUAGCUGGUCUGAGAGGAUGUCCAGCCACAUUGGAACUGAGACACGGUCCAAACUCCUACGGGAGGCAGCAGUAGGGAAUCUUGCACAAUGAGGGAAACCUUGAUGCAGCGACGCCGCGUGCGGGACGAAGGCCCUAGGGUUGUAAACCGCUUUCAGUAGGGACGAAAGUGACGGUACCUACAGAAGAAGCCCCGGCCAACUAUGUG
Molecule: ribosomal RNA, 453 nt
Filed under: uncultured bacterium
Lineage: Bacteria
Description: bacterial SSU rRNA
Rfam family: Bacterial small subunit ribosomal RNA
Source: RNAcentral